GACGAACGCUGGCGGCGUGCUUAACACAUGCAAGUCGAACGGAAAGGCCCUGCUUUUGUGGGGUGCUCGAGUGGCGAACGGGUGAGUAACACGUGAGUAACCUGCCCUUGACUUUGGGAUAACUUCAGGAAACUGGGGCUAAUACCGGAUAGGAGCUCCUGCUGCAUGGUGGGGGUUGGAAAGUUUCGGCGGUUGGGGAUGGACUCGCGGCUUAUCAGCUUGUUGGUGGGGUAGUGGCUUACCAAGGCUUUGACGGGUAGCCGGCCUGAGAGGGUGACCGGCCACAUUGGGACUGAGAUACGGCCCAGACCGCUACGGGAGGCAGCAGUGGGGAAUAUUGCACAAUGGGCGGAAGCCUGAUGCAGCAACGCCGCGUGCGGGAUGACGGCCUUCGGGUUGUAAACCGCUUUCGCCUGUGACGAAGCGUGAGUGACGGUAAUGGGUAAAGAAGCACCGGCUAACUACGUG
Molecule: ribosomal RNA, 468 nt
Filed under: uncultured bacterium
Lineage: Bacteria
Description: partial 16S ribosomal RNA
Rfam family: Bacterial small subunit ribosomal RNA
Source: RNAcentral